RNAcentral lists this ribosomal RNA (636 nucleotides) under Triticum aestivum (bread wheat). RNAcentral describes it as "partial small subunit ribosomal RNA". Lineage: Eukaryota; Viridiplantae; Streptophyta; Magnoliopsida; Poales; Poaceae. The record is from RNAcentral.
AUGGAAGAAGGCAUCAAAGAAGCCGAGUCGAGCAAGAAGGCAGCAGCAGUCGAGAGCACAGCGACAAAAGUGGGCGCCAUGGCCGACGCGACGUUCGGGAGCAUCGGCGACGUGCUCAAGCUGCUGCCGACGUCGACGGUGAUCGUGUACGAGGUGCUCAACCCGAUCGUGACCAACGCCGGCGCGUGCAGCGUAGCCAACAGGGUGGUCACCGCGGUGCUCCUCGUGCUCUGCGCCUUCUCCUGCGCCUUCUCGGCCUUCACCGACAGCUUCGUCGGCGCCGACGGCAAGGUCAGGUACGGCCUCGUGACGCCCAGGGGCCUCCUGCCAUUCGGCGGCGGCGACGACGACGACACCGGGGCGAGGGACUUCUCCAAGUACAGGCUGCGUCCGGCGGACUUCGCGCACGCCUUCUUCUCGGUGGUCGUGUUCGCGGCGGUGGCGCUGCUGGCGGACGCCAACACGGUGGCGUGCUUCUACCCGGCGCUCAGGGAGCAGCAGAAGCAGGUGGUCAUGGCGCUGCCCGUCGUGGUCGGCGCCCUCGCGAGCGGCGUCUUCGUCGUGUUCCCCUCCAAGCGCCACUCGAUCGGGUACCCUCCGGCGAAGCCUGCUGCGAGCUCGCUGGCGUCGCAGUAG